This 2158-nucleotide long non-coding RNA is filed under the name Brachypodium distachyon (stiff brome). RNAcentral describes it as "long non-coding RNA (BDIS_LNC003397)". Lineage: Eukaryota; Viridiplantae; Streptophyta; Magnoliopsida; Poales; Poaceae. The record is from RNAcentral.
GUGUGUCGGUUAGACCACCUGUUUUACCGCUUUCGGAACCCCAACUUAUCGUCUCGUUGAGACAUUGGUUUGAUAUAGUAUAUUCGCAAUUUCAGAUUGCAUCCGCUAUUUAUCUUGUUCUUGCUUGUUCUUCGAUUGCUUGCAGGAACAAAGACCUUCGUGGUCAGGUUGAUCGUGCCCCCGCGUGAUCAAUAACCCUUUGGAGUUGGUGUAUCGAUUGCUAAGGCGCUGCCUCCUAGGCCGUAGUCGGAUCGUCAACGUCACCUCCUACCCAAAUCGAGAGUUACCAAUCUCAUCGAAAGAUCGGGCCACCCGCACCCGUAUCACGUGGUAUCAGAGCUUAAGGUUGCUCGGUGAGAUUUUUCCAGUUUAUCCGUAGUUUAGAUCUAUUUUUACCUAUCGUCCAGAAAAAGCCAAAUAAAAAUUAGAAUUAGUUACCUUGUCCUAGAACCAAUCUGAGCCUUGCAAUUUUCACUUUAGUAUUUGCAUUGUUGAAUCUUUGCUGCAUUAAUCGUGUCGAGUUGCUGGAUUAGAUUGGAUCGUUUUUCAGAUUUUUUCUACUAGAUCGAACUUGCUUUUGGUUUUCUUGUUCUUCGUGUGACGCAGGUUUCCUUCAUCAAUCUUCCGCCGCCAAACUUCCUGCCACACCACCGCCAUAAUCUCCCGCCGCCACCAUAUCUUCCACCGAGUCCCUCUUGGAGUCCUACACCGAGUCCCUCAUCGAGUCGUACACCGAGUCCCUCUUCGAGUCCUACACCGAGUCCCUCGUCGAGUCCUACAUCGAGUCGGCAAGUUAUAGUUUUCAGCCGCGAAUCCGAGUCCGAGUCCAAUAAGGAGUGCUUUUGGAAAGUGUUUCAUCAUAGAUCGAAUUUUGUUUAGAGAUCAAGUUGUUUGGAAAUUUGAAAAAAAAAAGAAAGGAAAGAAGAAAAAAAGGAAAGAAAGAAAAAAAAAGGAAAAAAAAAAAGAGAAAGAGUUCGAGUCAGUUUCGGACCCGAGUCCGAGUAGAAUUUUAGUUUCGGGUGGGUUUGACCUGUGUUCAGUAAAACGGACGUAUCUUUUGCAUACCAACUCGGAUUUGGACGUUCUUGGACUUUUUGGAAAGGUCACGACGAGGCACAUCAGGAAAUAUCCAGGGCUUUGCCCUGCACUUUGACCCUCAAAUUCGGCAUCUAAGGUGGACUUUUCGAGCUCCAAAGUUUCUGCACCCGUUUUACGGCACCGGGGCAGCGCAGUAUAUCUCAGUUUUCUCCACCGUCCGACCUCCGUUUCGAGUGAUCUUGCACUUGUUGGAAAGCUUGUUUUGAUACGCUUCUAACCCAUAUUUUUCCAUAUUUUUCUGAAUUUUUCUUACUGCAGCCUUUGCUGUUUUUCGACAGACCGACGUACAGUUUUCCGGUCCUUCUUUUGCGUGAGUUUCUGGGGUAAAAAAAAAGAAAAAAAAAAGAAAAAAAAGAAGAAGAAAAGAAUAAGAAGCCAAACAGAAGGCCACAAAAAGAAAAAAAAAAGAAAAAAAAUCCCAGGGAUUUACUUCUUGUGCCAUCUUUCUAUCCUACCUUCUUCAGUAUCUAGGCUUAGAUUAUUUCUGUAAUUCGUUCUUAUCGACUCCAGCAGCUAGGACUAGCAUUAUUGAGCAUAUUUUCAACUUUGCAUUGCUGAUUUGAUUAUUUGCUAUUCUUUGCUACUCACAAAAGCCUCCAAGCUCCACAGAUUCUACACCUAGGUUGGUUUGUUACCGAGGCAUCGAUACAUUUAAUAUUCGGAGGGCUUGGUCACGCCGCUGCCCAUCACCUUCCUGUUUUGCAUGGUAAGAACUUGUAAGAACUUGAUUUUUAGUUUGAGAGUUGAGCGACUUGUAGCCAUCCUAGUAGUUGAUAGGAACAUAUUACUGUGAUUUGUUUCUUGUUUUCUACUAACCAUGACAGGACUUACACGAAGCAUGGCAACUAGACCGAUGCUAUCCCGUGACCGCGAUGAGUGAUUUUCACCACGACCAUCCUCCACGUCUCUUGUUCAUAAUGCCACGGCAACGGUACAAAACAAUCCUUCUAAUACAAUUAAAUUGUGUGUACCUUUCUUUGAGGGGGAAAAUGAUGCUGAAACGUAUAUAGAUUGGGAGCUAGCUUUAACUGAACAAUUCACAUGCUUCCAUGUACUAGAU